Molecule: transfer RNA, 86 nt
Filed under: Jenufa perforata
Lineage: Eukaryota; Viridiplantae; Chlorophyta; Chlorophyceae
Description: tRNA-Ser
Rfam family: tRNA
About the family: Transfer RNA (tRNA) molecules are approximately 80 nucleotides in length.
Source: RNAcentral
GGAAAGAUGGCUGAGUGGCUUAAGGUCUUGGUUUUGAAAACCAACACAUUUUUACAAUGUCGGGGGUUCGAAUCCCUCUCUUUCCU